UACGGAGGGGGCGAGCGUUGUCCGAAGUUACUGGGCGUAAAGCGCGCGUAGGCGGGUUGGUAAGUCCGCUGUGAAAGCCCGGAGCUUAACUCCGGAGGGUCGGUGGAUACUGCCAGUCUUGAAGGUGCUAGGGGGAGAUGGAAUUACCGGUGUAGCGGUGAAAUGCGUAGAUAUCGGUAGGAACACCAACGGCGAAAGCACUCUGCUGGGCCGACACUGACACUGAGAGACGAAAGCUAGGGGAGCGAAUGGG
Molecule: ribosomal RNA, 253 nt
Filed under: uncultured bacterium
Lineage: Bacteria
Description: partial 16S ribosomal RNA
Rfam family: Bacterial small subunit ribosomal RNA
Source: RNAcentral